AUGCCAUCCAUGCAACAGGCGGAGGCGGGGGCGGAGCAAAGGAGCAACGGGCCUCGGAUCAAGAUGAAGCCCGCGGCUAGGCGGGUGCUCGCCGGUGGUGUGCGUUCGAUGUCGCUGGGGAGCCCCAGGUCUCCGCCGCCCUCCUACGCGAGCAUCGUCACCGUGCUCAGCAUCGACGGGGGCGACGUGCGCGGGAUCAUCCCCAGCACCAUCCUUGCCUUGUUCGACCGUCGUCGCCAACGGCAAUGCUACGAGACGAGUUUCUGCAACAACAAUGUUGCUGCAAAUGGCGGCAGUGAACGGCCUAUGCUUGCAAGGGGUUCUUUUUCUCUGCGAGAUGCUUCUUGUUGCAAAGGGAGCGAGCGCUAUCUCACUCGCGCGCCAAGCAUCCUGUGGACCUUCGCCCCUGGAGUUGUUUCUAAAACAUAG
RNAcentral lists this ribosomal RNA (429 nucleotides) under Triticum aestivum (bread wheat). RNAcentral's name for it is "partial small subunit ribosomal RNA". Lineage: Eukaryota; Viridiplantae; Streptophyta; Magnoliopsida; Poales; Poaceae. The record is from RNAcentral.